GGUUCUAUGGUUCAGUUGGCUAUCAAGCUGACUGCAACACUGCCAUCCGAUCGUCAGACAUCGGAUGGUCGAGGGUUCGAUUCCCUCUGGAUCCA
Molecule: non-coding RNA, 95 nt
Organism: Mycena vitilis
Lineage: Eukaryota; Fungi; Basidiomycota; Agaricomycetes; Agaricales; Mycenaceae
Source: the annotation of a GenBank genome assembly